This 414-nucleotide long non-coding RNA is filed under the name Mytilus galloprovincialis (Mediterranean mussel). The record is from RNAcentral. Lineage: Eukaryota; Metazoa; Mollusca; Bivalvia; Mytilida; Mytilidae.
CAAGAAAGUAUCGUUUUGAUUUCUUGAGUCUCGUCAGGCUUACACAAGUGUAUAUCAGUUUGUGGGUCUGAUUUAUUCUUAUUCUAAGAGUGUUUUGUUUUGUUUUAAGAAUAUAGUUUUCUUUUUUUUAUUAUUUAUUUUUCUUUUUCUUUUUUUUUUCUUUUUGUCUUUUGCGGGCUUGUUUGGCGGUUUAUUUUUGUAGGGCCCGCAAUUGUGUAUACUCUAUGUCAUGUAUGUGUAUAAAUUAUUUGUUAAAUGAACUUGUACAAUAAUUUUCGGCCAAAAUAAAAGUUUUAUUUAUCUUGUUUUAUAUUCUGAGCCAAAGAUAAUUGUAUAGUUUUUAAUUCUAAAAACGCAUAAUUAUAUGCGAAGUUCGUUUUCUUCGACAUUUCGUAAUUCUCCACUAUCUAUAGU